This 78-nucleotide transfer RNA is filed under the name Planctomycetota bacterium. RNAcentral describes it as "tRNA-Glu". It matches the Rfam family "tRNA". From Rfam's summary of the family: Transfer RNA (tRNA) molecules are approximately 80 nucleotides in length. Their secondary structure includes four short double-helical elements and three loops (D, anti-codon, and T loops). Further hydrogen bonds mediate the characteristic L-shaped molecular structure. tRNAs have two regions of fundamental functional importance: the anti-codon, which is responsible for specific mRNA codon recognition, and the 3' end, to which the tRNAs corresponding amino acid is attached (by aminoacyl-tRNA synthetases). tRNAs cope with the degeneracy of the genetic code in two manners: having more than one tRNA (with a specific anti-codon) for a particular amino acid; and 'wobble' base-pairing, i.e. permitting non-standard base-pairing at the 3rd anti-codon position. The record is from RNAcentral. Lineage: Bacteria; Pseudomonadati; Planctomycetota. RNAcentral also lists the same sequence under 1 other name.
GGCCCCAUCGUCUAGCUCGGUCUAGGAUACAAGGCUCUCAUCCUUGAGACACGGGUUCAAAUCCCGUUGGGGCUACCA